GACGAACGCUGGCGGCGUGCUUAACACAUGCAAGUCGAACGGAAAGGCCCUGCUUUUGUGGGGUGCUCGAGUGGCGAACGGGUGAGUAACACGUGAGUAACCUGCCCUUGACUUUGGGAUAACUUCAGGAAACUGGGGCUAAUACCGGAUAGGAGCUCCUGCUGCAUGGUGGGGGUUGGAAAGUUUCGGCGGUUGGGGAUGGACUCGCGGCUUAUCAGCUUGUUGGUGGGGUAGUGGCUUACCAAGGCUUUGACGGGUAGCCGGCCUGGGAGGGUGACCGGCCACAUUGGGACUGAGAUACGGCCCAGACUCCUACGGGAGGCAGCAGUGGGGAAGAUUGCACAAUGGGCGGAAGCCUGAUGCAGCAACGCCGCGUGCGGGAUGACGGCCUUCGGGUUGUAAACCGCUUUCGCCUGUGACGAAGCGUGAGUGACGGUAAUGGGUAAAGAAGCACCGGCUAAAUACGUG
This 468-nucleotide ribosomal RNA is filed under the name uncultured bacterium. RNAcentral describes it as "partial 16S ribosomal RNA". It matches the Rfam family "Bacterial small subunit ribosomal RNA", at positions 28 to 507 of the family's 1533-position model. The record is from RNAcentral.